ACUAUAGUAGGGACUGGAAAUUCAACGUGAAAAAAAGUUAAAUCUCUGCUGCCUUAAAAGAUGAAUAGGUGCUGUUUACCAAGAUUGCUGGAGAAAGCCAAGCAGUGGGAGCCAAUGAAGUCUUCCCAACAUGACACCCAUACUUGAGAUUCUCCAGCCUCUGGACUCCAGGACUUCCACUAGUAGUCUACCAACCCCACCUCCCAAGUUUUCAGGCCUUCAGCUCCAGACUAAGAGUUACACCAUCAGCUUCUGUGAUUCUGAGGCUUUCAAAUUUGUACUGAGCCAGCCAUAUUGCUGAAUCCCUGUGUCUCCAGCUUGUACACAGCCUGUUGUGGGACUUCUCAACCUUCAUAAUUACAUGAGCCAAUUCCCCUAACUAAUCCCCUCAUCUAUCUAUCUAUCUAUCUAUCUAUCUAUCUAUCUAUCUAUCCAUCCAUCCAUCCAUUCUACUGUUGCUGUCUCUCUCUGGAGAACCCUAACUAUUGCCCAACUGCACUGACGCAUAGCUCCCUAUUUACAUUGUUACAUUGUGUACAGAAGGUCAUAGUCUGGAAAGUAUCAUUUAAAAUGCACCAGUGACCCAUUAGACCACAUAUCACCAAUGACUUCAGAUCCUGUCUCUCUUGCCUGUCUCUGGUUCCAGCUGCUACUGCUGCCUUGCUGCACAUGGGCUCCCACCAAUUGCAGGGAAGUGCCACCUGCCCCCACUUCACCUCCUGCCUAGGCUACAUAAUCCUCCACCUCCCUAGUAUUUCUGUUGAUGUGAAGAAGUGAACAUCAACAAGCAAGACCCUAUUGCAGCUUGUACAACUUCAACCUGGAAGUGCUAGGAACUUGAUGGAUGCCCAGCAGGGCGAAACUUUGACCAGUGGGAGAUGAGAACAGUAGAUUACUUCUUCCCUCAUCCACCUCACUGAACUCUGAGACAAAGUGCCUUUUUGGAGGACGUUCUCCAGACCCAGAAAUCAGCUGCAUUCUUAGUUGCCUGUUUCACUUUCUCUGCCUCACUCCCCUUGUCCAUCACUCCUGCCCUCCAGGGCUGGCCAGCCAAGCAAUAGCACACAGUGCUGCUUCAGGCUCUGCUUUAUGGGAAAUCCAGACAUUUCCAUGAAUAUCUUAUUUCAAUUAUUUAUAUCUAUACAGCAUGUUUACCAAAGUACUUUUAGAAUAAUAUUUCAUUGAAACUUUUAAUAAGAGGUUUUAGAAAGAAAGUCAAUGAGAAUAACUAAUUCAUGCCCAUGAUAAAGUAUAAACCAAUUAUGCAAAACAGAUAAAUUCAAGCUUCUCAAAGUUACAUGGGUAUAAUCCAUGCAGCUCUCCUGGGUUUUAACCACUAAGCCUCCCCUUCUUAGGUGUACUCUUCAGAUACCACCAUCCUUGUGUUUAAAAUAAGAAUUUCUGCCCAUUUUUCAUCCUUAUUGCCUUCUUUGUUUUGUUCUCCGUCUCCUCCUUUUCAUGUAUUUUUUUUCAAAGAGGUUUCAUAUUCCCUCGUUUUACAGUCAAUGUCCUAGACAUAUCCUGUCUUAAAAGUACUGUAUGUCGAUUGGGUAUAGAGAAUGACUAUCUAGGUUCAUAAUUUCACCUCUGACACUAAUAAACUUUGUGGUCUCGCAUGA
RNAcentral lists this long non-coding RNA (1619 nucleotides) under Homo sapiens (human). RNAcentral describes it as "HSALNT0214306". Lineage: Eukaryota; Metazoa; Chordata; Mammalia; Primates; Hominidae. The record is from RNAcentral.